UGCGCAAUGGACGGAAGUCUGACGCAGCGACGCCGCGUGGAUGACGAAGGCCUUCGGGUUGUAAAAUCCUUUUCCGGGCGAUGAGGAAGGACACUAGCCUGGGAAUAAGCGUCGGCUAACUACGUGCCAGCAGCCGCGGUAAGACGUAGGACGCGAGCGUUAUCCGGAUUUACUGGGCGUAAAGCGCCUGCAGGCGGUCAGGUAAGUCGGUUGUGAAAGCCCCGUGCUCAACGCGGGGAGGCCAAGCGAUACUGCGUGACUUGAGGGCGGAAGAGGGGAGUGGAAUUCCCGGUGUAGCGGUAAAAUGCGCAGAUAUCGGGAGGAACACCAGUGGCGAAGGCGGCUCCAUGGACCGCACCUGACGCUCAGAGGCGAAAGCUAGGGGAGCGAACAGGAUUAGAGACCCUGGUAGUCCUAGCCCUAAACGCCGGAUGCUAGGUGUAGGGCUGAUGAGGCUCUGUGCCGGAGCGAACGCGAUAAGCAUCCCGCCUGGGAACUACGGCCGCAAGGCUAAAACUCAAACGAAUUGACGGGGACCCGCACAAGCAGCGGAGCGUGUGGUUUAAUUCGAUGCUACACGAAGAACCUUACCUGGGUUUGACAUGCUGGUGGUACCGAACCGAAAGGGGAGGGACCCUUCGGGGAGCCAACACAGGUGCUGCAUGGCUGUCGUCAGCUCGUGCCGUGAGGUGUCGGGUUAAGUCCCGUAACGAGCGCAACCCUUGCUCUUAGUUAUACGUGUCUAAGGGGACUGCCGGCGACAAGCCGGAGGAAGGUGGGGAUGACGUCAAGUCAGCAUGGCCUUGAUAUCCAGGGCUACACACACGCUACAAUGGCCGGUACAAAGGGCAGCCAAGCCGCGAGGUGGAGCGAAUCCCAGCAAAGCCGGUCCCAGUUCGGAUUGCAGGCUGCAACCCGCAUGCAUGAAGUUGGAGUUGCUAGUAACCGCGCGUCAGCCAUAGUGCGGUGAAUACGUACCCGGGUCUUGUACACACCGCCCGUCACGUCAUGGGAG
RNAcentral lists this ribosomal RNA (1015 nucleotides) under uncultured organism. Its description in RNAcentral is "bacterial SSU rRNA". It matches the Rfam family "Bacterial small subunit ribosomal RNA", at positions 365 to 1410 of the family's 1533-position model. The record is from RNAcentral.